Molecule: ribosomal RNA, 253 nt
Filed under: uncultured bacterium
Lineage: Bacteria
Description: partial 16S ribosomal RNA
Rfam family: Bacterial small subunit ribosomal RNA
Source: RNAcentral
UACGUAGGGAGCGAGCGUUGUUCGGAGUUACUGGGCGCAAAGGGUGUGUAGGCGGUUGUUUAAGUUUGGUGUGAAAUCUCCCGGCUCAACUGGGAGGGUGCGCCGAAUACUGAAUGACUAGAGUGCGGGAGAGGAAAGUGGAAUUCCUGGUGUAGCGGUGAAAUGCGUAGAUAUCAGGAGGAACACCGGUGGUGUAGACGGCUUUCUGGACCGUAACUGACGCUGAGACACGAAAGCGUGGGGAGCGAACAGG